GAUGAACGCUGGCGGCGUGCCUAAUACAUGCAAGUCGAGCGAACAGACGAGGAGCUUGCUCCUCUGACGUUAGCGGCGGACGGGUGAGUAACACGUGGAUAACCUACCUAUAAGACUGGGAUAACUUCGGGAAACCGGAGCUAAUACCGGAUAAUAUAUUGAACCGCAUGGUUCAAUAGUGAAAGACGGUUUUGCUGUCACUUAUAGAUGGAUCCGCGCCGCAUUAGCUAGUUGGUAAGGUAACGGCUUACCAAGGCAACGAUGCGUAGCCGACCUGAGAGGGUGAUCGGCCACACUGGAACUGAGACACGGUCCAGACUCCUACGGGAGGAAGCAGUAGGAAAUCUUCCGCAAUGGGCGAAAGCCUGACGGAGCAACGCCGCGUGAGGGAUGAAGGACUUCGGAUCGUAAAACUCUGUUAGUAGGAAAGAACAAAUGUGUAAGUAACUAUGCACGUCUUGACGGUACCUAAUCAGAAAGCCACGGCUAACUACGUG
Molecule: ribosomal RNA, 497 nt
Filed under: uncultured bacterium
Lineage: Bacteria
Description: partial 16S ribosomal RNA
Rfam family: Bacterial small subunit ribosomal RNA
Source: RNAcentral